Molecule: ribosomal RNA, 247 nt
Filed under: uncultured bacterium
Lineage: Bacteria
Description: partial 16S ribosomal RNA
Rfam family: Bacterial small subunit ribosomal RNA
Source: RNAcentral
AUACGUAGGUGGCAAGCGUUAUCCGGAUUUACUGGGUGUAAAGGGCGUGUAGGCGGGAAAGCAAGUCAGGCGUGAAAACUAUGGGCUCAACCCAUAGCCUGCGUUUGAAACUGUUUUUCUUGAGUGUCGGAGAGGUAAUCGGAAUUCCGUGUGUAGCGGUGAAAUGCGUAGAUAUACGGAGGAACACCAGUGGCGAAGGCGGAUUACUGGACGAUAACUGACGCUGAGGCGCGAAAGCGUGGGGAGC